RNAcentral lists this ribosomal RNA (1455 nucleotides) under Bacillus sp. PCWCS25. Its description in RNAcentral is "16S ribosomal RNA". It matches the Rfam family "Bacterial small subunit ribosomal RNA". The record is from RNAcentral. Lineage: Bacteria; Bacillati; Bacillota; Bacilli; Caryophanales; Bacillaceae.
AACGCUGGCGGCGUGCCUAAUACAUGCAGUCGAACGAAUCUUGGGAGGCUUGCUCCCGAGAGUAGCGGCGGACGGGUGAGUAACCACGUGGCAACCUGGCCUGUAAGACUGGGAUUACUUCGGGAAACCGGAGCUAAUACCGGAUAAUUCUUUUCAACACAUGUUGGAAAGUUAAAAGUCGGUUUCGGCUGACACUUACAGAUGGGCCCGCGGCGCAUUAGCUAGUUGGUGAGGUAACGGCUCACCAAGGCGACGAUGCGUAGCCGACUGAGAGGGUGAUCGGCCACACUGGGACUGAGACACGGCCCAGACUCCUACGGGAGGCAGCAGUAGGGAAUCUUCCACAAUGGACGAAAGUCUGAUGGAGCAACGCCGCGUGAGCGAUGAAGGCCUUCGGGUCGUAAAUCUCUGUUGUUAGGGAAGAACAAGUAUCGGAGUAACUGCCGGUACCUUGACGGUACCUAACCAGAAAGCCACGGCUAACUACGUGCCAGCAGCCGCGGUAAUACGUAGGUGGCAAGCGUUGUCCGGAAUUAUUGGGCGUAAAGCGCGCGCAGGCGGUCCUUUAAGUCUGAUGUGAAAGCCCACGGCUCAACCGUGGAGGGUCAUUGGAAACUGGGGGACUUGAGUUGAGUGCAGAAGAGGAAAGCGGAAUUCCACGUGUAGCGGUGAAAUGCGUAGAGAUGUGGAGGAACACCAGUGGCGAAGGCGGCUUUCUGGUCUGUAACUGACGCUGAGGCGCGAAAGCGUGGGGGAGCAAACAGGAUUAGAUACCCUGGUAGUCCACGCCGUAAACGAUGAGUGCUAAGUGUUAGAGGGUUUCCGCCCUUUAGUGCUGCAGCUAACGCAUUAAGCACUCCGCCUGGGGAGUACGGCCGCAAGGCUGAAACUCAAAGGAAUUGACGGGGGCCCGCACAAGCGGUGGAGCAUGUGGUUUAAUUUGAAGCAACGCGAAGAACCUUACCAGGUCUUGACAUCCUCUGACACUCCUAGAGAUAGGACGUUCCCCUUCGGGGGACAGAGUGACAGGUGGUGCAUGGUUGUCGUCAGCUCGUGUCGUGAGAUGUUGGGUUAAGUCCCGCAACGAGCGCAACCCUUGAUCUUAGUUGCCAGCAUUCAGUUGGGCACUCUAAGGUGACUGCCGGUGACAAACCGGAGGAAGGUGGGGAUGACGUCAAAUCAUCAUGCCCCUUAUGACCUGGGCUACACACGUGCUACAAUGGAUGGUACAAAGGGCUGCGAGACCGCAAGGUUUAGCCAAUCCCAUAAAACCAUUCUCAGUUCGGAUUGCAGGCUGCAACUCGCCUGCAUGAAGCCGGAAUCGCUAGUAAUCGCGGAUCAGCAUGCCGCGGUGAAUACGUUCCCGGGCCUUGUACACACCGCCCGUCACACCACGAGAGUUUGUAACACCCGAAGUCGGUGGGGUAACCGCAAGGGGCCAGCCGCCUAAGGUGG